This 403-nucleotide ribosomal RNA is filed under the name bacterium. RNAcentral's name for it is "partial 16S ribosomal RNA". It matches the Rfam family "Bacterial small subunit ribosomal RNA", at positions 355 to 776 of the family's 1533-position model. The record is from RNAcentral.
UGGGGAAUAUUGCACAAUGGGGGAAACCCUGAUGCAGCGACGCCGCGUGAACGAAGAAGGUAUUCGUAUCGUAAAGUUCUGUCCUAUGGGAAGAUAAGUACAGUACCAUAGAAGAAAGCUCCGGCUAAAUACGUGCCAGCAGCCGCGGUGAUACGUAUGGAGCGAGCGUUGUGCGGAAUUAUUGUGCGUAAAGGGUAUGCAGGCGGUUUAAUAAGUCGAAUGUUAAAGAUCGGGGCUAAACCCCGUAAAGCAUUGGAAACUGAUCAACUUGAGUAGUGGGGGGGAAAGUGGAAUUACUAGUGUAGUGGUGAAAUACGUAGAUAUUAGGAGGAAUACGAGUAGCGAAGGCGACGUUCUGGACACAAACUGACGCUGAGGUACGAAAGCGUGGGGAGCAAACAGG